AAUUAGAAGUAAUAACCUAUAAUUACCUAAUGAUUGUCUUAAUAUAUAGCCUAGGUGUGUGGCCUCAACCAUAACAUUAUUUCCAAAUGGAAAAAAACCCUACAGUCUAUUAAAAAAACACAGUAUUUGCCCGGUGUUCAUUGAAAAAAUCCUCAAAUUCAGAGCCCACAGAGAUGCCAGAUGUGAGGCACGCACAGGAGAUGACAGAGAGGGAUUGCCUGGCAUCACAUGACUUUUCUGAGAAUGUGCAAUGCAAAGGAAGAACAAAUGCAGACAAACAGUGAGAGCAGCGAGGAAGACGUACACGAGAUACCCAGGAGCUGUAGAGCGAUUUCAUGCCCCCAUAAACACUGCAGCACAAAUAGAAGUAUAGAGAGAGAGGGAUGGGGGAGGAGGGCAGACAAAGGUAAGUGGAACAAAACUAAGCAAAUCUAACUAAAAAUGCAGGCAGUGUUAGAGAUUAGAACAGCUGCCUUCAAAUUUGUGCCAAAAGGCAUGUGCCACAUUACUUUAGCCCAAAAUGUUCCUGAUAUACUGCUUCCUCACUCUGACUGAGCUGGCUGAUAACAAACUGCUUAUGUGUCCAGCAGCUGGAACCGUUGCAGACUUUACUGCUAAGUCAGAGCUCCGGCCCCAUUCAGCUUGAUCCACUGGCCUCCACUGACAUCCAUAUCACCAGAGCUGACCCCAGGGCAGGUUAAAGACAGGUGUGUAAACACUGAAGGUGCAGUGAAAAGAGAUAAGCCUCCGCUGAUAGUGUGCAAGGCAAUGGACUCUUAAAACAGAUAACAGGCAUGUGCCGAUGACCUCACCACAUGUAGAAUAUCUGAUUGGCCUGUUAUUUAGAACACACUGUAUUGAUAAGAGGUGUUG
Sinocyclocheilus anshuiensis is the source of this 873-nucleotide long non-coding RNA. RefSeq lists it as uncharacterized. The record is from RefSeq and is a predicted model, not a curated record. Lineage: Eukaryota; Metazoa; Chordata; Actinopteri; Cypriniformes; Cyprinidae. The transcript has 3 exons.